This is a long non-coding RNA of Parambassis ranga (Indian glassy fish), 1225 nucleotides long. Lineage: Eukaryota; Metazoa; Chordata; Actinopteri; Ambassidae. The record is from Ensembl.
AUGGGUUUGGAUGGGACCCUGUGCAGUCCUCCCCUCCCCAGAGAGGUGCACCAACAUACACCAGUCUAUUCAGGCCUGGAUUCUGACCAGUAUAUAAAGUAUGAUCCAGAUUCCUCCACCUCUGGUGGGAGGCUCCUUUCUUUCAGGAGUGGCUGGGCGUGGCUGGUAAUGGCGCUGCUUGAUAUGCCCAGGUGGACCUUCAGACUGACGCUGCAUUGUCUGCCUGCCACUCCUCCAGCUGCUGCCUGCCACCCCGUCACUCUGUGGAACUUCCUGUGGAACUUACCUUUGUUUUGUGUGAACAAUACAACCUCGCCUAAAGCUGCUCCCCUGUCUGUGGUCUGCAUCCAGUCGCAGCAGGUAGUAAGUACACACAGUAAUAAAACAGUGAACAUACAGAGUCUGUACACAGGCUGCUGGGUGCUGCUCAGGCAGCAUUCAAAGUGCAGAAAGUACAGCACAGCACUAUCAGUUUAUACUGAGGGAGAACCAGAGGGAGAACCAGGACCCCACCUAUGAUCGGAAUAUGUGGUGUUAUCAUCAGGUUUAUUCUCAAUAUUUCAGUGAGAAAUGGCUGAACUCUGACAAAUGAAGCCGUGUAAAAACCUGUUAAAACUGCAGUUCAGGACUUUGGGUGGAAAAUAUAGUUAGGUUUUUCAAAACCCCAGCUCUGGGCACCUCUCUAAGAGGAGGCACUGCUGGAGAUCCUGUGGGAAUAAUAAGGCAACUUAUUUUCACGCUCUGGGACUGUCGGCUAUUUUAACAUUUUGGGACGAAAUUAAGGGAAUGAUGGAAAAAAUUAUGAAAAUAGUGAUCCCUGUGAGUCUGAGGCCUUAUACCCGGUCUUAAGAACAGACAGUGAAGGGUUUUAGGAAUAAAUAUAUGUAUAACAUCUUUCUGCCAGUGAGAAAGCCAUCACAAGGAGAUGGCUGACAAAAGAUCCUCCUUCGAUUAAGGACUGGAUCAAAGUGGUCCAAGACAUUUAUGAAAUGGAGAAGCUAACGUUCAUUCUUAGGUUGGAAAAAGAUAAGUUAGAGAACUUGUGGGGUACGUGGACGACCUACAUAGCAACAUAUAACAAACAUUCUGGGUAAAAUGGGGGAAAGGCGAAACCUCCUUGUUUUGACUCCACUCAUCUGUUUUUUUUUUCUCUUUUCUUUCUUGUUGUUUUUAUAGUUUAUAUAUAUAAAUAUAGUUUAUAUAUAUAAACUAUACACAUAAGCAC